This 745-nucleotide ribosomal RNA is filed under the name uncultured bacterium. RNAcentral's name for it is "bacterial SSU rRNA". It matches the Rfam family "Bacterial small subunit ribosomal RNA", at positions 33 to 773 of the family's 1533-position model. The record is from RNAcentral.
ACGCUGGCGGCAUGCCUUACACAUGCAAGUCGAACGGCAGCACGGAGCUUGCUCUGGUGGCGAGUGGCGAACGGGUGAGUAAUAUAUCGGAACGUACCCUAGAGUGGGGGAUAACGUAGCGAAAGUUACGCUAAUACCGCAUACGAUCUAAGGAUGAAAGUGGGGGAUCGCAAGACCUCAUGCUCGUGGAGCGGCCGAUAUCUGAUUAGCUAGUUGGUAGGGUAAAAGCCUACCAAGGCAUCGAUCAGUAGCUGGUCUGAGAGGACGACCAGCCACACUGGAACUGAGACACGGUCCAGACUCCUACGGGAGGCAGCAGUGGGGAAUUUUGGACAAUGGGCGAAAGCCUGAUCCAGCAAUGCCGCGUGAGUGAAGAAGGCCUUCGGGUUGUAAAGCUCUUUUGUCAGGGAAGAAACGGUGAGAGCUAAUAUCUUUUGCUAAUGACGGUACCUGAAGAAUAAGCACCGGCUAACUACGUGCCAGCAGCCGCGGUAAUACGUAGGGUGCAAGCGUUAAUCGGAAUUACUGGGCGUAAAGCGUGCGCAGGCGGUUUUGUAAGUCUGAUGUGAAAUCCCCGGGCUCAACCUGGGAAUUGCAUUGGAGACUGCGAGGCUAGAAUCUGGCAGAGGGGGGUAGAAUUCCACGUGUAGCAGUGAAAUGCGUAGAUAUGUGGAGGAACACCGAUGGCGAAGGCAGCCCCCUGGGUCAAGAUUGACGCUCAUGCACGAAAGCGUGGGGAGCAAAC